CUGCCAUUGUCAGCGUUCGACUGAUAGAGCAAGCGGGAGCUGUGUUUGAGGUCUGGCAACAAUCGCACCCCAACAGCUGAAAGCAUGGCGCAUGGCUGAGAAGCAAGAUAAUUUGCGCCGGAAUUUGUCCGCUGCUCUUUGUUUCCUAGUGAUUCACUGGUAACUGAGGUUGCUGUUGUUAAUCGCGGUUAUGAUGGGUGAUUUUGUCCUUGUGCGUAUUUUGACCGAGCCUGUUUGACUUCUGAGGCCAGAGAAGGUACGGCCGAUGUGCAGCUUUGUUUACCUUCAAGACCGAGUGGAGCUGAAAGUUUGCUCAAACCAACCAAAGGACAGAAAAUAUGGGAUGUGGGCCUUUGAAGGACCAGCUGAUGAAAAAAUGAACGUCUGCGCUGCACGAAACAUUCUUCAGCUGUCCUACCGCUUGUGCAGCAAGAUCGACAUACAGAGAUCUAACACUUUGACAACGAACCCUAUAGAGAGCUGGAAUGUUCGCAAUAAAGAUGUGCGAGAUAUAUAUUCUGCCACUUGCUAGCAAUGUCUGUAUUAGGAGCUGUCACUAUA
Molecule: long non-coding RNA, 561 nt
Organism: Dermacentor albipictus
Lineage: Eukaryota; Metazoa; Arthropoda; Arachnida; Ixodida; Ixodidae
Source: RefSeq, a predicted model, not a curated record